UCAUAACCAACUCUAUGUCCACCCAUCUCCGCCCGUCUGGGGGAGAGUGCCAGAGCGCUACCUGGGCUAAUUGCGCCGCUAAAUAGUAGUGGUACAGAUCCGGGAGGCAGAGUCCUCCUCUCGUCCGUGGCCUAUACAGAACAUAUCUUGAUAUUCGGUGUCUCUUAUGUUACCAUACAAAGUUCCCAAUUGCCCGCUGGAGCGGAGCCAGCUGUGCCGUCGUCAAGGGGAUCGGAAGCACCUGGAAAAGGAACAAAGCCCUGGGCAGGACGUUCAUUUUGAC
This is a non-coding RNA of Pelobates cultripes (western spadefoot toad), 283 nucleotides long. The record is from the annotation of a GenBank genome assembly. Lineage: Eukaryota; Metazoa; Chordata; Amphibia; Anura; Pelobatidae.